AUUGAACGCUGGCGGCAUGCCUUACACAUGCAAGUCGAACGGCAGCACGGGGGCAACCCUGGUGGCGAGUGGCGAACGGGUGAGUAAUACAUCGGAAUGUACCCAGUAGUGGGGGAUAACUAGUCGAAAGAUUAGCUAAUACCGCAUACGCACUAUGGUGGAAAGCGGGGGAUCGCAAGGACCUCGCGCUAUUGGAGCAGCCGAUGUCCGAUUAGGUAGUUGGUGGGGUAAAAGCCUACCAAGCCUGCGAUCGGUAACUGGUCUGAGAGGACGACCAGUCACACUGGGACUGAGACACGGCCCAGACUCCUACGGGAGGCAGCAGUGGGGAAUUUUGGGACAAUGGGGGAAACCCUGGAUCCAGCAAUGCCGCGUGUGUGACGAAGGCCUU
This 391-nucleotide ribosomal RNA is filed under the name uncultured bacterium. Its description in RNAcentral is "bacterial SSU rRNA". It matches the Rfam family "Bacterial small subunit ribosomal RNA", at positions 30 to 418 of the family's 1533-position model. The record is from RNAcentral.